RNAcentral lists this ribosomal RNA (536 nucleotides) under Paraburkholderia xenovorans. RNAcentral describes it as "partial 16S ribosomal RNA". Lineage: Bacteria; Pseudomonadati; Pseudomonadota; Betaproteobacteria; Burkholderiales; Burkholderiaceae. The record is from RNAcentral.
AUUGACAAGCUCGGAGCCUGAGGCAUGCACUGAGNAUCAGCUUGUGUCCUCUACGUAUUGUCACGUUGUAUGCCGCGCGUGACGGGGGUGGAGUGAACUAGCGUGGCGGUCAACCUGCGCUGUGACAGUACUGCGCGAUGACACUCCGAGGCAAACUCGCGAGCUAAGUACCGGAUGAAUCAUGUUGUACUACUCUGACAUGACAGAAGAAAAAAUUCUAAAAGAAUGGGUAUUGCGGGCUUAUUUCAACAUUGAUCANUAUUGGGUCCCGCCGCGUUGCCAUUUAAGCCUAGGUAUGUGUUUAGGGUUAUCGGGCUCCACGCAAGGGUCAAACGCAUCGCAGUAGCCCUGCACCCUGAUGCAGGCGUUCAUUCGCGCUCACUACGUAGAGGCACCUGCAGUAACUACCGUGCACCUANCAGCCUGCCGUGAGCUGUGGGCANUGGCUAAGUCUAUGUUGGCAUGCACNCUCGGCAGCGAACCCCGAUCCCCGGAUAGACGUGGUAGUCCCCGUAGCUGCACGGAGGCUCGCACCG